This 51-nucleotide ribosomal RNA is filed under the name Lactifluus oedematopus. RNAcentral describes it as "partial 28S ribosomal RNA". The record is from RNAcentral. Lineage: Eukaryota; Fungi; Basidiomycota; Agaricomycetes; Russulales; Russulaceae.
UUGACCUCAAAUCGGGWGAGACUACCCGCUGAACUUAAGCAUAUCAAUAAG